CGGGUGAGUAACACGUGGAUAACCUACCUAUAAGACUGGGAUAACUUCGUGAAACCGGAGCUAAUACCGGAUAAUAUUUUGAACCGCAUGGUUCAAAAGUGAAAGACGGUCUUGCUGUCACUUAUAGAUGGAUCCGCGCUGCAUUAGCUAGUUGGUAAGGUAACGGCCUACCAAUGCAACGAUGCAUAGCCGACCUGAGAGGGUGAUCGGCCACACUGGAACUGAGACACGGUCCAG
RNAcentral lists this ribosomal RNA (237 nucleotides) under uncultured Staphylococcus sp. RNAcentral's name for it is "partial 16S ribosomal RNA". It matches the Rfam family "Bacterial small subunit ribosomal RNA", at positions 103 to 334 of the family's 1533-position model. Lineage: Bacteria; Bacillati; Bacillota; Bacilli; Caryophanales; Staphylococcaceae. The record is from RNAcentral.